AGAUAAUUCAAUACAAGAAAAACGAAAUGACAAGAGAAAGAAAGAAGAGAAGAGAAGAGAAACUUAAGGUAGAAAGAAGGAAAGAGCUACGGUUUUGGGAGGAGAAAAAGCCCAAAACGUUACCAAACAGCCAAUAAGUUUCAGCUGCGCUAAAGGAAAUUCCGAGGCAAGUUUUGGCGAGUUUUGGUGAAUUUCGGGAAAGGUUCAAGAGACGACGAGGCGAGCAUAGUUAAGAGUAAUCCGUAAGAGGUACAGACGAUUGGUUUGCUGAUCCGCUCGCUUAGGACAUCCACCAUGUUGGUCGACAGUGCUCCUUUGUUCGGAGUCCUAUUUUGGAACCGACGUCACUCCUCGACCCCCUCCACGUGGCUAGCUCAAGUUAGUUGAAGAGUUCUUGUGGUGAGUUCCCAUGUUUCGGGAACGACAUCCUUUUUAUUCUAAGCUUAUGUUAUGUAGAAUAGUAAGACUUUUAUUAAGAUAUUUCUUGACACUUAUAUUGAGGGUGAGCUAGGGACAUGUCUUAGCCCCCGCCAAGUCUAUUAGUAGAGGUAUGUUUGGACACAAAUAGAAAAAUGUUUUUUAUUUUCACUUA
Solanum dulcamara is the source of this 592-nucleotide long non-coding RNA. RefSeq lists it as uncharacterized. The transcript has 5 exons. NCBI's taxonomy places the organism in Eukaryota, Viridiplantae, Streptophyta, Magnoliopsida, Solanales, Solanaceae. The record is from RefSeq and is a predicted model, not a curated record.